Molecule: non-coding RNA, 526 nt
Organism: Plectropomus leopardus (leopard coralgrouper)
Lineage: Eukaryota; Metazoa; Chordata; Actinopteri; Perciformes; Serranidae
Source: RefSeq, a predicted model, not a curated record
CAGACGUGUUGCAACAGAUGGCUUUAGCAGCGGCAGCUCGGCGGCGGCUGCACCAAGGAACUCUGGGACGCCGUUAGACAGAGCAGAGGUAGAGAAAAGGGGAGGGAGGGGUGCUGGAAAGUCACAGCAGAGGGAAGGAGAGAGAAAAAGAGACGGAGUGAGACUUCUCCCCCUUCCUCCUUCGGCUGCAAACUCACCGCCUUCCUCCUCAGACAGACAGGAAGACAUGUCCGUGUGAGCACAAGUUGUGCAGCUGAGAGGAGUUUUCAGGAGGCGAUGAGUGUUUGAUCUGAGCCUUCAUCCUCCUCCUCCUCCUCCUCCUCCUCCUCCUGCUCCUCCUCCUGCUCUGGGGUCAGAGGGGAGAACACCUGCUGACAGCGAGGAGGUCCUGAGGGAGGAGACCAGCAGCAGCAGGAGGACUGAAAACAGCAGGAGGCUCAACACACACCUACACACACACUGCAGGUCCCUGCUGAGCUGGACACCCUGAUAAACACUGAGUAUACUCCAGAGUGUCUGCACAAGG